RNAcentral lists this ribosomal RNA (503 nucleotides) under uncultured bacterium. Its description in RNAcentral is "partial 16S ribosomal RNA". It matches the Rfam family "Bacterial small subunit ribosomal RNA", at positions 29 to 507 of the family's 1533-position model. The record is from RNAcentral.
AACGAACGCUGGCGGCGUGCCUAACACAUGCAAGUCGAACGAGAAAGGGGCUUCGGCUCCGAGUAAAGUGGCGCACGGGUGAGUAACACGUGGGUAACCUGCCUCUAAGAGUGGGAUAACUCGUCGAAAGAUGAGCUAAUACCGAAUAAGACCACAGUUCCCGCGGGAACAGGGGUCAAAGGUAGCCUCUGCUUGCAAGCUAUCACUUAGAGAUGGGCCUGCGCACCAUUAGCUAGUUGGUAGGGUAACGGCCUACCAAGGCAAAGAUGGUUAGCUGGUCUGAGAGGAUGAUCAGCCACACUGGACCUGAGACACGGUCCAGACUCCUACGGGAGGCAGCAGUGGGGAAUAUUGCGCAAUGGGCGAAAGCUUGACGCAGCAACGCCGCGUGAGUGAUGAAGGCCUUCGGGUCGUAAAGCUCUGUCGGGAGGAACGAAUGCUCCUGAGGUUAACAGCCUCGGGAGGUGACGGUACCUUCAAAGGAAGCACCGGCUAACUCUGUG